UGGGGAAUCUUGCACAAUGGGGGCAACCCUGAUGCAGCGACGCCGCGUGAGCGAUGAAGCCCUUCGGGGCGUAAAGCUCUUUCGACCGGAACGAUAAUGACGGUACCGGGAGAAGAAGCUGCGGCUAACUACGUGCCAGCAGCCGCGGUAAUACGUAGGCAGCAAGCGUUGUUCGGAGUUAAUGGGCGUAAAGAGUGCGUAGGCGGUUUUCUAAGUUCGGUGUGAAAUCUCCCGGCUUAACUGGGAGGGUGCGCCGAAGACUGGGAAGCUGGAGUGUGGGAAAGNCGGGCGGAAUUCCUGGUGUAGCGGUGAAAUGCGUAGAUAUCAGGAGGAACACCGGCGGUGUAGACGGCUGGCUAGACCAUAACGGACGCUGAGGCACGAAAGCGUGGGUAGCAAACA
This 402-nucleotide ribosomal RNA is filed under the name uncultured bacterium. RNAcentral describes it as "bacterial SSU rRNA". It matches the Rfam family "Bacterial small subunit ribosomal RNA", at positions 355 to 774 of the family's 1533-position model. The record is from RNAcentral.